Long non-coding RNA from Clarias gariepinus (North African catfish), 668 nucleotides. RefSeq lists it as uncharacterized. NCBI's taxonomy places the organism in Eukaryota, Metazoa, Chordata, Actinopteri, Siluriformes, Clariidae. The record is from RefSeq and is a predicted model, not a curated record. The transcript has 3 exons.
GCAAUGUUGAUUAGAAGCCCUCCUGAAAAGAAUCCAGCUGACAAACGUCAUCUUGCCCAAGUAAGGGUCACCAAUCUUGCCUCUGAAUUACAUUUACAUAUUGUACUGUAGAUCUACAUCCACAUCUUACACUUCUACAUAUAUGAAAUGACUUUAAAAAUAAAAACAUUUGGAACUACAUUUCUUAAUUUAUAAUCCCUGCACAAUUUUGCAUCAUUCCCCCUCCAGAUGAUCGAAGAUAUCCUAAAGAGCAGCCCUGGAGGAGAAAAGGUCUUAAAUGAAUAUGCCCGCACCAAAGGUCUAUCAGAUGCCCGAAGACGUGACAUGGUGAAAAUCUUAGUAGCAUAUCUGACAAAUGAACAUGGGAGCAUUACUACAAUGCAGAAGAUGGAAGUGGAUAUUUGGCAUGGAGGAUUAAAACCCUGCAAAAAGAAGCAUCAGAAGGACGGAUGAAGCGUGCCCGGGAACCACAAACAGGUGGGCCAACUGCUGACAGACAUCCCUACAAAGAAGACUCCUUUCUGACUGAACACCAACAGUGUCAGGAAGCAAUAGCCCUAAUGAAGCAUACUGCUGAUGAGUCAGUGGUAAAGGAAAAGAUGAAGUUAACACUGCGCUAUCGCCAGAAACUACUGCACGACCCUAAAGAGUCAACUAAUAUUCUAUCA